This 241-nucleotide long non-coding RNA is filed under the name Prunus persica (peach). RNAcentral describes it as "long non-coding RNA (PPER_LNC001342)". The record is from RNAcentral. Lineage: Eukaryota; Viridiplantae; Streptophyta; Magnoliopsida; Rosales; Rosaceae.
GGGGUAAGAGAUAUGAGUUUUGUGUUUUUGAAUUUCUCUUUUUUGUUGUUGUGGAUUUGGGUUAGAAAGUGAUCGGCUUGAUGUAAUGCACAGAGAGGACAAGGGUGCAACUUCUUUCAGCGGAUUGAUCCCUGAAUGGGUGAAAGAUCUAGGACUGUUAUUCCUGGGUUGCUAAGAAAGGUAAAAAAGCAUAAGGAGUUGCAAAGAAAAGUGGGGAUAAGAGGGAAGCUUAUGUGGGUAG